GAGAAUAGAAGAAGAAGAAGAAGAGGAAGAGGAAGAGGAAGAGGAGGAGGAGGGGGACGCCACAGCCAACCCAAACCACCGCCGACCACCACCGCUGAAGAAACCAACGAAGAAGACGCCUCCACGAUCGCCGACCACCACCACCAACGUACGCCGACGAGCUUCGAACCACAAUCACUGAUAUCAAUUUCGAACGCUCAAGAAGGUCUCAACCACCACCGCCGCCGCCAUACGACAACGAAGAGAGAAAAUUUCAGGUCCAGCGCAACCUCCUUAGGGGUGCAAUCUCAGUUGACUACUCUUGCAGGAAUAAUUAGAGCUAUUGAUCCAAAGCUUCAUGAACACCUUUAGGAACUAAAUGGUGGGUAGUAUCUGUUUACACUCCGUAUGCUAAUGGCACUUUUCCGGAGAGAGUUGUCAAUUGUAGAUGCGUUGUACCUUGGGGAGGUGAUGUGGGCAAUGGAAUAUAAUCCAAACAUCUCUUCAUUAUAUGAGGUUUCAAGGUCUAGAUCAGAUGUGGCACCAAAUGAAAAUGCUGUAUCCAGAAUGGAUAUUAAGCAGCUGAAGCAAUAUGGGAAAUAUGAGAGAAAACUUAUAAAGACUGGACACGGGGACUAAAAGAGCGCCCUCAUAGUUUUCCUCGUUGCAAGUCAUUGAGGCCAAGAAAAAACGACUUCUGAAAAAAGCUAAAGGUCCAAACGAUGUUGUCAAAAUUGUGGGGGAAAUAACGGCUAGUCUGGAUGCGAAAAGGGCAUUGAGAGACGCAUUGAGGAUCUAGGAAAAGUACCUACAGAAGGCAAGCUCAUCCUUUUGUUUCUCUUUCGUUAAAUCCUCAUUCCAUCCUCACAUGCAUGCAUAUGACUUGGGUUUCCACACAUGGUUUGCUGCUUAUAGUGCUUACCUAUGCAUGCAGGCCAGGCAAUUGUAGCUAUGCAAGAGGGAGGGAGAGCACAAAGCAGUUCCACAACUCCAAAAUCCAGUUCCGCUUGGUGUUUGAAGCGUCCAGCCAAGAAGAGAUGCUAGCUACACUUAGGAUUUAUCUUUUUAAUUUUGCUUGUAAUAUAGCUUAGGGUAGACAACGAUGAUGAUGUUUGGCUCAUGGCCUUUGCUCCAAUUUGACAAUGUUUCAUGGCUUGUUUAAAAAGAUACAAGUUUGUACUCCAUUUUUGUUGCUGUAUUGGUUUUAGAGUGGUACAUUUUGAGAUAAUGAGUGGUACAUUAUGAAAUUCAAAUAUCACUAUGGUGUCAAC
Molecule: long non-coding RNA, 1250 nt
Organism: Rhododendron vialii
Lineage: Eukaryota; Viridiplantae; Streptophyta; Magnoliopsida; Ericales; Ericaceae
Exons: 5
Source: RefSeq, a predicted model, not a curated record